RNAcentral lists this ribosomal RNA (305 nucleotides) under uncultured bacterium. RNAcentral describes it as "bacterial SSU rRNA". It matches the Rfam family "Bacterial small subunit ribosomal RNA", at positions 335 to 638 of the family's 1533-position model. The record is from RNAcentral.
AGCCCUACGGGACGCAGCAGUGAGGAAUAUUGGUCAAUGGCCGAGAGGCUGAACCAGCCAAGUCGCGUGAGGGAAGACGGCCCUACGGGUUGUAAACCUCUUUUGUCGGGGAGCAAAGCGAGUCACGUGUGACUCAUUGAGAGUACCCGAAGAAAAAGCAUCGGCUAACUCCGUGCCAGCAGCCGCGGUAAUACGGAGGAUGCGAGCGUUAUCCGGAUUUAUUGGGUUUAAAGGGUGCGCAGGCGGAGGGGCAAGUCAGCGGUCACAUUGCGGGGCUCAACCCCGUACUGCCGUUGAAACUGCAC